GUUUGUUUGCUGUUUUGCAUCCAGAGUUUGUCAAAUUUCAAUUUCAUUCAUUCAUUUUCAAAUUUAGUUUGAUGUUAGAUACCAAUAACAACUCAAGCUGAUUCAAUUUUGGUCAAAAUCUGGUUAAAGUCGAGUCACGUGGGACUGCCGAGGAAGAUGGCCGCACAUUGGAGGCGUUCCUAAAGCCUGUUAAUUAAUGUUCUGAAUUUGGAAACGUACACUUCAGCUGUAGUCAUAAAGUGGACGCCCCCUGCCGACUUUGAAGUUUUUUUUUUGAAGAAUUACCGCCUUUGAAAAAUGACAGGUAAUAACAAAGCAAACUUUUUCAAGGGAGCUACCACGAGGAAGAAGCAAGCUAGCAUUAGCCUCGUUCCGGAGCUGCCCGAAAACACACCUGCGUCUGAUGCCGCCUCUCCAGCAGCAGCGGAGGAAGCCAUUUCCUGGAAGUCAUGUCCAGCGCUGCUGACGAGAUCUCUGAGGCGAAAGAUGGGGCAUGAAUAAAGCUGGAUGUAUUGAUCUUCUAUGGCCACUUUUGGACACUCUGCAUCGAUUUUCCAGCAUUUUAGAGCUCUGCCCUGUAGAAACAUUCACACUCACAAUGACCCGGUCAAAGCUCUUUGUUGCUAAGAAUAACAGGCUGACUUGUGACACUUUCGCUUAGUUAUGAUGGAAUAUGUGUCCUCCAAAUCAACCUGUUCUAUUCUGCUUCAGGGGAAGGAAACAACUCAAUAAAUGUUACUUUUUGCACAAAGAUGUUAACACAGUCGGUGCCACAGUUUUGCUAGAAAUAUGGCAGAAUCUAAGAUUUAUCUUCCUUUUUUAUAUGAUUAUAAAUGUUUACAUUUUUUUUUAAAAAGGUGAAAAGCUUGUUAAUGUGAUCUCAUACCAGUUUAACUUUGCCUUAACUUUGGUCCUCA
Oreochromis niloticus (Nile tilapia) is the source of this 917-nucleotide long non-coding RNA. RefSeq lists it as uncharacterized. The record is from RefSeq and is a predicted model, not a curated record. The transcript is spliced from 3 exons. Lineage: Eukaryota; Metazoa; Chordata; Actinopteri; Cichliformes; Cichlidae.